RNAcentral lists this ribosomal RNA (223 nucleotides) under uncultured bacterium. RNAcentral's name for it is "partial 16S ribosomal RNA". The record is from RNAcentral.
CUGCUGCCUUCCGUAGGAGUUUGGACCGUGUCUCAGUUCCAAUGUGGGGGACCUUCCUCUCAGAACCCCUAUCCAUCGUUGUCUUGGUGGGCCGUUACCCCGCCAACUAACUAAUGGAACGCAUCCCCAUCCCAUACCGAAAUUCUUUAAUAAUCCCAUCAUGCGGUAGGACUAUAACAUCGGGUAUUAAUCUUUCUUUCGAAAGGCUAUCCCCGAGUAUGGG